This 86-nucleotide transfer RNA is filed under the name Candidatus Altarchaeales archaeon. RNAcentral describes it as "Candidatus Altiarchaeales archaeon tRNA-Ser". It matches the Rfam family "tRNA". From Rfam's summary of the family: Transfer RNA (tRNA) molecules are approximately 80 nucleotides in length. RNAcentral also lists the same sequence under 1 other name. The record is from RNAcentral. Lineage: Archaea; Nanobdellati; Candidatus Altarchaeota; Candidatus Altarchaeia; Candidatus Altarchaeales.
GCCGAGGUGGCGGAGUCUGGUUAACGCGCAAGCCUGCUAAGCUUGUGGUCCUUGUGACCGCUUGGGUUCAAAUCCCAACCUCGGCG